UUGGUGUUUCCGCAUCCACUUCCUACUUGUGACGUUGACGAGAUCAGAACGAAAACGCGGAGCGGAGGAGAUGAUAAAGACCAGGCUCUGACAGGUUAUUUGGCUAUUGGAGCAACGCAAAUGGUUAUUACAGGACAGUGGAUCUUCAUGCCAUGAGACAUCAGAGAUUUUAGGCCUUUAAGGUGAAGCCUUGUGGGAGAAAAAAAACAUCACGAUCGCUCCACUAUUAACACCUUUGAAAUCUCAAGCAAACCCAUGCAAUAGGCCUAUAAUAUACACCACCCUUUCAAGUCAGUCCAUUAACUCCUCUAUCCACAUUGUACAUAGUUAAAAUGGUGACUGUUGUGCACUUGGCAGAUCAGAGGAUUCUACAAAUGCAGGUGUUAAACAAAAUUGUCUUGUACAAUAUAUGCAAUAGCACUGAAUUUGGUCUUGUAAAAAAUGCUCUGAAAGUGUAUUGUGUGAUAAAUUCCUAAAAUACUAAGCAAAUACAUAUCAUAAUGCUCUUUAAAUUUCAGACUACAGUAACAUAAAACAAUCCCUUGUGUUAGUGAAAUUAUAACUUAUAAUUUUGAGUUAUCUUGUCAAGUGAUACGUUUGUCCCCUGUACAAUUAUUCAUGAUUAUUAUGUUGUUUGAUUUACAAAAAAUGCAUCUGUAACAGGCCUUUUUCACAGCAGACAUUUUGACUUAUGUCAGGAAAAGCACAGAUGUUACCGAUGACAUUAACAAUAGCUCCAAGCCGAAGCAGCUGAAAUUGAAUUCAGCCAUCAUUCAUUUACUUAUUUACACCUGCGUUUUUACUACAGUGACAUGUCAGAGUGUCUUUGGGGAAAAAGGCCUAAAUGGAGGAAAAUGGGAAUAGUAAUAUCCAUUGACCUACAUGACACUGUACUUGGAUUGUCCAUUGCUUUAUGAUAGAUUGAGUUUGUGUUAGCCAAGGCAGCAGUUUCUGGUUGUGGUGGCUUUAAAUAAAUGUUUUUAUUAAUGUA
Molecule: long non-coding RNA, 991 nt
Organism: Siniperca chuatsi (mandarin fish)
Lineage: Eukaryota; Metazoa; Chordata; Actinopteri; Centrarchiformes; Sinipercidae
Exons: 2
Source: RefSeq, a predicted model, not a curated record